GUGUUAUCUUCUGGGCCAGACUGAUGCACUGUAUGAUUAUGCAUGCCAUCCUGUACCAACUCAGCUUGAACUGGAGACAAUGGCAACAGAAAAUGUUAACACUCAUGAUCUCAUGAGAAAAUGAAGCUGCCAUUUCACAACCAGGUCCACCAGAAGUUACUGCUUUAUAUGUCAUGAUGGAAGGCACUACAAUUGUGGCAUUAAAACAAGAAGCUGUAAUACAUCAUGAGAAAUGUGGAAGUCCCUAUGACAGGUGCAAAGCAAGAUACAGGGGAAUGGCCUUUCCUGCCUUAGGAGUGACACAAGCACAGCAGCUUCUGCUGCUCAGCUUCCAUUCAAAGCCUAAGCAAAG
This 352-nucleotide long non-coding RNA is filed under the name Gallus gallus (chicken). RNAcentral's name for it is "lncRNA (ENSGALG00010028276.1)". The record is from RNAcentral. Lineage: Eukaryota; Metazoa; Chordata; Aves; Galliformes; Phasianidae.